This 305-nucleotide ribosomal RNA is filed under the name uncultured bacterium. Its description in RNAcentral is "partial 16S ribosomal RNA". It matches the Rfam family "Bacterial small subunit ribosomal RNA", at positions 508 to 808 of the family's 1533-position model. The record is from RNAcentral.
ACAGCAGCCGCCGCGGUAAUACGUAGGUGGCAAGCGUUGUCCGGAAUUAUUGGGCGUAAAGGGCUCGCAGGCGGUUUCUUAAGUCUGAUGUGAAAGCCCCCGGCUCAACCGGGGAGGGUCAUUGGAAACUGGAAACUUGAGUGCAGAAGAGGAGAGUGGAAUUCCACGUGUAGCGGUGAAAUGCGUAGAGAUGUGGAGGAACACCAGUGGCGAAGGCGACUCUCUGGUCUGUAAUUGACGCUGAGGAGCGAAAGCGUGGGGAGCGAACAGGAUUAGAUACCCCGGUAGUCCCUGUCUCUUAUACC